GGGUAUAUAGCUCAGUGGUACAGCACAUACUUAGCAUGCACGAGGUCCUGGGUUCAAUCCCCAGUACCUCCA
This 72-nucleotide transfer RNA is filed under the name Camelus dromedarius (Arabian camel). It matches the Rfam family "tRNA". From Rfam's summary of the family: Transfer RNA (tRNA) molecules are approximately 80 nucleotides in length. Their secondary structure includes four short double-helical elements and three loops (D, anti-codon, and T loops). Further hydrogen bonds mediate the characteristic L-shaped molecular structure. tRNAs have two regions of fundamental functional importance: the anti-codon, which is responsible for specific mRNA codon recognition, and the 3' end, to which the tRNAs corresponding amino acid is attached (by aminoacyl-tRNA synthetases). tRNAs cope with the degeneracy of the genetic code in two manners: having more than one tRNA (with a specific anti-codon) for a particular amino acid; and 'wobble' base-pairing, i.e. permitting non-standard base-pairing at the 3rd anti-codon position. The record is from Rfam by way of RNAcentral. RNAcentral also lists the same sequence under 1 other name. Lineage: Eukaryota; Metazoa; Chordata; Mammalia; Artiodactyla; Camelidae.